UGAGGGCAGAUAAUAUGUAAAGUAGGGAUGUGAGUGAAAAUAAAAUGUAAGUGAGGGAUUCCAAGCUUAUGCUCAGAAAUAUAGGAGACAGGAAAUCCCUAACCAUUUGCAAUUGGAUAUAGAAGAAAAGUAAUUUUCUCCCUUCCCCCAACUCCCCGAAGACCAUCAUUGGCACAUGCUAUUGAGUACUGUUCAUUGGCUGCAGGGAUACAGUGAGUGAGCCAGCCUGGCACCAGCAAACAACAACAAUUACUCAAAGCAGACCAACAGAAAACCUGUAACUGCAUAUUGUUUCAAAAAUGAGCUGAUCAUAAAUGGGCACAUGCCACAUGCCUGUAAUGCAAGCUACUGGGAAAGCUGAGGCAGGAGGAUCACUUGAGCCCAGAAGCUCUAGACCAGCAUGGACAACAUAGCAAGACUCCGUCUCAAGAAAAAGAAAAGGAAAACAAAUUUGAUGACGUUCUGAACAGAAGCAUGGCAGUGGAGGUGGAACAAAGGUGAAACCACAGUGAAACCAAGCUGAGAUAAGCAAAAUAAUGGCCUCAGAAGAUGUCUGCACGCGAAUCUCUCAGUAACUGUGAAUAUAUGAUGUUAGUUGGCAGAUGAAUCAAAGUUAGAGACCUUAAAAUUAAAUAUAUAUAUAUAUAUAUAUAUCUCCUGAAUUUUCCGUCUGGAUUUGAUCUAAUCACAUGAGCUUUAAAAGUAGAGAAUUACCUCCAUUGAAUCAAGCAGAAGGGAAAGCCAGAGAGAUUCAGAGUGAAGAAAUCGAUGCCCCGUUGCUGGUGCAAAGAUGAGAGGGGCAAAGAGCAGAAUGCAAGUGGUCUUUGGUAACCAAGAGAGGCUCACAACUGAAAGUCCGCAAAGAAACAUAUACCUCACCUCUAUAACCAUAAGGAACUGUAUUCUGCCCACUCACCUGAAUGAGAAAGCUGACUCUUCUCCAGAGCCUCCAGAAAGGAAUGCAAUCUUGAUUUCCUCCUUGUGGAGCUCUAAGUAGAGAAACAGCUGAGUCCCACUGUGCCUGAACUUCUGCCUCACAGAAAAUUUGAAAUGAUAAAUUGGCAUCUGAAUGUUCAAGUUUUUGGUAAUUUGUUACAGUAGCAAUAGAAGUCACAGUUCCCACUCCUUCUUUUGUCUUACAUUGUGGCAUCUCAGACUUCAGUUGUAUAUUAAUGGAAUUAAUUAAUUUCUGCUGGUCCCAAAGGGAAGUGGGAAAAGGGAGAGCUCUGGCCCUGUGGCUGGCUGCAAGUCUCAGACAAUAGAUAUUGAAACUCAAGGUUUUUCUCUCUAUGUUAAU
Rhinopithecus roxellana (golden snub-nosed monkey) is the source of this 1297-nucleotide long non-coding RNA. RefSeq lists it as uncharacterized. The transcript is spliced from 3 exons. Lineage: Eukaryota; Metazoa; Chordata; Mammalia; Primates; Cercopithecidae. The record is from RefSeq and is a predicted model, not a curated record.